UAAAGUUGUUGCGGCUAAAAAGCUCGUAGUUGGAUUUCUGUUGAGGACGACUGGUCCGCUCUAUGAGCGUGCAUCUAGUUUGGCCUUGGCAUCCGCUCUGCAUACGUAUCUGCGCUUGAUUGCGUGGUGCGGAGGUAGGGCCUUUUACUUUGAGGAAAUUAGAGUGUUCACGGCAGGCAAUCGCCUUGAAUAUAUUAGCAUGGAAUAAUAACAUAGGAUCUUGGUUCUAUUUUGUUGGUUUCUAGAGCUAGGAUAAGGAUUAAUAGGGACAAUUGGGGGUAUUCGUAUUGUGGUGUCAGAGGUGGAAUUCUUGGAUUACUACACGACGAACUACUGCGAAAGCAUUUGCCAAGGAUGUUUUCAUUGAUCAAGAACGAAAGUAAGGGGAUCGAAGACGAUUAGAUACCGUCGUAGUCUUUACCAUAAACUAUGCCAACUAGAGAUGGGGCGUCGUUCUUACAUGACUCGCUCCGCACCUCAUGAGAAAUCAAAGUUUUUGGGUUCCGGGGGGAGUAUGGUCGCAAGGCUGAAACUUAAAGGAAUUGACG
Molecule: ribosomal RNA, 548 nt
Filed under: uncultured alveolate
Lineage: Eukaryota
Description: SSU rRNA
Rfam family: Eukaryotic small subunit ribosomal RNA
Source: RNAcentral